RNAcentral lists this ribosomal RNA (303 nucleotides) under uncultured bacterium. RNAcentral describes it as "bacterial SSU rRNA". It matches the Rfam family "Bacterial small subunit ribosomal RNA", at positions 355 to 675 of the family's 1533-position model. The record is from RNAcentral.
UGGGGAAUAUUGCACAAUGGGGGAAACCCUGAUGCAGCGACGCCGCGUGAGUGAAGAAGUAUUUCGGUAUGUAAAGCUCUAUCAGCAGGGAAGAAAAUGACGGUACCUGACUAAGAAGCCCCGGCUAACUACGUGCCAGCAGCCGCGGUAAUACGUAGGGGGCAAGCGUUAUCCGGAUUUACUGGGUGUAAAGGGAGCGUAGACGGCGGAACAAGUCAGAAGUGAAAACCCGGGGCUCAACCCUGGGAGUGCUUUUGAAACUGUUUGGCUGGAGUGCAGGAGAGGUAAGCGGAAUUCCUAGUG